This 1675-nucleotide ribosomal RNA is filed under the name Klebsiella pneumoniae. RNAcentral's name for it is "bacterial LSU rRNA". It matches the Rfam family "Bacterial large subunit ribosomal RNA", at positions 1271 to 2925 of the family's 2925-position model. The record is from RNAcentral. Lineage: Bacteria; Pseudomonadati; Pseudomonadota; Gammaproteobacteria; Enterobacterales; Enterobacteriaceae.
UGCUGGAGGUAUCAGAAGUGCGAAUGCUGACAUAAGUAACGAUAAAGCGGGUGAAAAGCCCGCUCGCCGGAAGACCAAGGGUUCCUGUCCAACGUUAAUCGGGGCAGGGUGAGUCGACCCCUAAGGCGAGGCCGAAAGGCGUAGUCGAUGGGAAACAGGUUAAUAUUCCUGUACUUGGUGUUACUGCGAAGGGGGGACGGAGAAGGCUAUGUUAGCCGGGCGACGGUUGUCCCGGUUUAAGCAUGUAGGCUGGUUAUCCAGGCAAAUCCGGAUAAUCAAGGCUGAGGUGUGAUGACGAGGCACUACGGUGCUGAAGUAACAAAUGCCCUGCUUCCAGGAAAAGCCUCUAAGCAUCAGGUAACAUCAAAUCGUACCCCAAACCGACACAGGUGGUCAGGUAGAGAAUACCAAGGCGCUUGAGAGAACUCGGGUGAAGGAACUAGGCAAAAUGGUGCCGUAACUUCGGGAGAAGGCACGCUGGUGUGUAGGUGAAGUCCCUGCGGAUGGAGCUGAGACCAGUCGAAGAUACCAGCUGGCUGCAACUGUUUAUUAAAAACACAGCACUGUGCAAACACGAAAGUGGACGUAUACGGUGUGACGCCUGCCCGGUGCCGGAAGGUUAAUUGAUGGGGUUAUCCGUAAGGAGAAGCUCUUGAUCGAAGCCCCGGUAAACGGCGGCCGUAACUAUAACGGUCCUAAGGUAGCGAAAUUCCUUGUCGGGUAAGUUCCGACCUGCACGAAUGGCGUAAUGAUGGCCAGGCUGUCUCCACCCGAGACUCAGUGAAAUUGAACUCGCUGUGAAGAUGCAGUGUACCCGCGGCAAGACGGAAAGACCCCGUGAACCUUUACUAUAGCUUGACACUGAACAUUGAGCCUUGAUGUGUAGGAUAGGUGGGAGGCUUUGAAGCGUGGACGCCAGUCUGCGUGGAGCCAACCUUGAAAUACCACCCUUUAAUGUUUGAUGUUCUAACGUUGGCCCCUNACCGGGGUUGCGGACAGUGUCUGGUGGGUAGUUUGACUGGGGCGGUCUCCUCCCAAAGCGUAACGGAGGAGCACGAAGGUUAGCUAAUCCUGGUCGGACAUCAGGAGGUUAGUGCAAUGGCAUAAGCUAGCUUGACUGCGAGCGUGACGGCGCGAGCAGGUGCGAAAGCAGGUCAUAGUGAUCCGGUGGUUCUGAAUGGAAGGGCCAUCGCUCAACGGAUAAAAGGUACUCCGGGGAUAACAGGCUGAUACCGCCCAAGAGUUCAUAUCGACGGCGGUGUUUGGCACCUCGAUGUCGGCUCAUCACAUCCUGGGGCUGAAGUAGGUCCCAAGGGUAUGGCUGUUCGCCAUUUAAAGUGGUACGCGAGCUGGGUUUAGAACGUCGUGAGACAGUUCGGUCCCUAUCUGCCGUGGGCGCUGGAGAAUUGAGGGGGGCUGCUCCUAGUACGAGAGGACCGGAGUGGACGCAUCACUGGUGUUCGGGUUGUCAUGCCAAUGGCACUGCCCGGUAGCUAAAUGCGGAAGAGAUAAGUGCUGAAAGCAUCUAAGCACGAAACUUGCCCCGAGAUGAGUUCUCCCUGAGACUUUAAGUCUCCUGAAGGAACGUUAAAGACGAUGACGUUGAUAGGCCGGGUGUGUAAGCGCAGCGAUGCGUUGAGCUAACCGGUACUAAUGAACCGUGAGGCUUAACCUU